AUGAAAUUGGGAGAUGAAUGGAAAACAGCAUUUAAAACUAAGUUUGGAUUAUAUGAGUGGUUAGUCAUGCCUUUUGGGUUAACUAAUGCACCUAGUACUUUCAUGAGGUUAAUGAACGAAGUUUUACGUGCUUUCAUUGGACGAUUUGUGGUAGUUUACUUUGAUGACAUAUUGAUUUAUAUCAAAUCUUUGGAGGAAUAUUUGGAACAUUUACGUGCUGUUUUUAUUGCUCUACGUGAUGCACGUUUGUUUGGUAACCUUGGAAAGUGCACCUUUUGCACCGACCGAGUAUCUUUUCUUGGCUAUGUUGUUACUCCACAGGGAAUUGAAGUUGAUAAAGCCAAGAUUGAAGCUAUUGAGAGUUGGCCGCAGCCCAAAACGGUCACACAAGUGAGGAGUUUCCUUGGUCUCGCUGGUUUCUAUAGGCGUUUUGUGAGAGAUUUCAGCACCAUUGCUGCACCUCUCAACGAGCUUACAAAGAAGGAUGUGCCUUUUGUUUGGGAUACCGCACAGGAAGAAGCCUUCACGGUAUUGAAAGAUAAGUUGACACAUGCUCCUUUACUCCAACUUCCUAAUUUCAACAAGACUUUUGAGCUUGAAUGUGAUGCUAGUGGAAUUGGAUUAGGAGGUGUGUCAUUACAAGAUGGGAUACCUGUUGCAUAUUUUUCUGAAAAAUUGAGUGGGCCUAGUCUGAACUAUUCUACUUAUGAUAAAGAAUUAUAUGCUCUUGUUCGGACCUUAGAAACAUGGCAACAUUAUUUAUGGCCCAAGGAAUUUGUUAUACAUUCUGAUCAUGAAUCUUUGAAACACAUUAAAAGUCAAGCAAAACUGAACCGUAGACAUGCUAAAUGGGUUGAAUUCAUUGAGACUUUCCCUUAUGUCAUUAAACACGAGAAGGGUAAAGAAAAUGUUAUUGCUGAUGCUUUGUCUCGUCGUUAUACUAUGCUUUCACAACUUGACUUUAAAAUAUUUGGUUUGGAGACCAUCAAAGAACAAUAUGAUCAUGAUGCUUAA
Molecule: ribosomal RNA, 1014 nt
Filed under: Triticum aestivum (bread wheat)
Lineage: Eukaryota; Viridiplantae; Streptophyta; Magnoliopsida; Poales; Poaceae
Description: partial small subunit ribosomal RNA
Source: RNAcentral